AAUUCAUAAAAAAUGAACACUUUGA
RNAcentral lists this transfer RNA (25 nucleotides) under Rattus norvegicus (Norway rat). RNAcentral describes it as "partial tRNA-Val". Lineage: Eukaryota; Metazoa; Chordata; Mammalia; Rodentia; Muridae. The record is from RNAcentral.